ACAUGACCUUAGCUGUUAGCUUUUUAUGAUCGAUUUCUACGUUCCUGACCAUUCUCUAUCAUAUUUCGAAAGUUGGUAAGUUCAAGUAUAUUUAUAUGAUUACAACAUUUCUUUCUAUUUCAUUCAAGUAUAACAUUGUUGAAGGUGUCUAAAUCAUCGUAAAUUGUUCCAUAUUUUUAAUGCAAGAUAAAAAUGUAAUUUGACCUAAUUAUAUUACUGUAAACAAACAUUUUGACUUCAGAGAUUUGAUAUAUAUAACAUAUACGAAUCAAUCAAAUGGUCGUAGUAACACUAUUGAUUACUAUUGAUUUUAAUUGAUUGUUUGUUAGAGUGGGUUUCCUUAUUUGAAUCAUUAUACGAAGGAAACGAUAAAGGUGUGGUCUUGCAUAACACAGUCACAACUCCACUUGAUGUUUACAAAUAUAUACGAUACAGUGUUGUUGUCAUAACAGUGACGGUAACCAUUCGCCGUGAAUUUUGUCCCAAAUGUACGAUGAAGUUCAUUAAUUUAUGCACAGCAACUACCUGCAACGAUAACAGUAUGUAAACAAUUAAAGUAUUUCAUUGACCUUGAGCUUUUUAAGUGAUGCAUGUUGGACUAACCAAUAAAUGAUGUAAUACUCAUCAGCCGUUUGACACGUUACUGUCAAAUUAUGUUUAAAACGAUUAUUUUUACCUUUUUUUCAGAAAUUAAGAAGAACAAGUCCUUUAAAGAAUUUGGAACAACUAUAAAUUAUUAGAAAGGAACAGAUUUUCAAUAUAAUUCGGCAUUUUUAAUUUCGCGUUUUGCAAAUAAAGAGAAUUAUCACAAUACUGGUAGUAUUGGUAUAAGCUUGUGAUUUCGAGCUUUCGACUGAGGGGAGAGGCAUAUUAAAGAAGUCAGGACCAUUUAGAAGCAUAAAAAAUGUGACCAUGUAUAAUUUUUGAUACAUAUUGUACAAGCAUUUGCGUCACAGCAAUUUACACGGCUAAAACACAUGCAAUAAGUGUUUAUUUAAUUAAGACUUAUUUAUCGAAUCCUGAUUUAAAUCUGAGCAGGUUUUGUUUCAAAACACAUUGUGACCUUAAAGCAUCGACAAAGGCAGCUGUUGGUUCUGCCCGUCGGGAUGUAAACGAAUUUUCUUUUCAUGUUUUUUUUUUUUUAUUUUCACAUUACACUAGGACCCACUAAAAAGUUGUGAAAUUUUGAAGCAUACAAAGAGGAAAUCAUAAAAUCUAUUGUUUUGAGAUCGAAUAUAUAUAUAUAUACCAUAAGUGGUUCGUUAAUCAAUAUUUAAUGAUUAAAGCUACUAGAGAGUAACCGUCAAUAACAAACCCUCUACUAUCAUCUAUAUAACCUUUAAAAAUCUUGGUCACGAGUUAAUAGACCAUAAAAAUCGUGUUAAGUUAGAUUUGGUGUAAACCAUUGUAAACAAAAUAAUACCAAUUAAUAGAAUGUAGAACAACGAAGAUGCACUUUAAAAGAUAAUUGUCAUUGAUGUUGAAGAUUUUGUAGGAUGUUUUUGAAAAAAUUAUGGAGUUGAUCAUGACCCUAUUGAAGAAAAAGCAAAAUACCGAAAAUCUUAGUACAUCAAAUCCAUCAAAUAUUUUUUUAUCAAGAUUUAGGGAAUAGUAUAACAUUUUAAGAUCGUCGUGGGAGAUAAGAAUAUAGGGUAAGCAUAUACAUCAACUUCUGUUUAAAUAUCGUAUUGGUAAGAACAAAAACAUUUCUGAAAAGUGAGAAAAGUGAAAUAUUAAAGAAAAUAUUGUAAAAAAAAAAAAAAAGAACACCAUCGCCGAACAAAAGAAAAAUUCGCCUGUGAACCGUACAAUGAUUGUUUGCGGCCAUACCUUGGUCGCGUUUACAAACAGUUCCAGAAAGUAACACAUGCAAUUAUAUUGUUUACUGUGCUGAUGCACACAUAUACCACAAGACGACGUGUCACUUGUUUCCCAUAUAUAACAUUUUAAAUUGUCAGUUGAAUUUUAUAAUUUUCGUAUAGCUUCAUUGGCAAUGUUUUCCAAUCGUCAUCAGUGCUUCUGUUCUUAUUGAUAUCAGAGGGCGAAUUUAGGUGGGACACGACAGGCAGGCGACUUUAAUUGAAACUAUCAAUGCAAAAAUGCAAAUACAAAAUUUAGGAAAGCAAAACAUGAAAAUGCGGAAAUGUCCGAUGGCGGAGACUCCUAUCAGGACCCACAUUGGUCCUAGGUGGUCCAUUGAUCCAUUGACCACUCGGCACAUUUUCACGCUAACCUACAACUCGAAGGCAGACAUGGGCUUAAAUCGUACACGUAAGAAUGUGUCUUGCGCUCUUUCAGAUUCUCACUCCUAAAUGAGGCGGCUCUUUCUUACACUAUACUUCACGAAGUUUAUUUAAUUUGACGUUCGUAUAAAUAACACGGUUAAUAAGUUACCUACAAUCAGCCAACUUGAUAUGAUCAAUCAAUAGGUGGGUACAGCACCCACCCAUCCACCCACACAAAAAAAAAGUCUUAAAAGGAACUCCAUAUUUAUUUCGCGUUCCGAUAAUUCAAAUUAAGUGUUUGUUCGGGUUUAGUUUUCAGGUACAAAAAAGGUGGAGCACUAUAGAUCACUAUAUAUGUACUCGAACCUCCGCGGC
RNAcentral lists this long non-coding RNA (2600 nucleotides) under Mytilus galloprovincialis (Mediterranean mussel). Lineage: Eukaryota; Metazoa; Mollusca; Bivalvia; Mytilida; Mytilidae. The record is from RNAcentral.